UUCUCCCGUAUAAUUUAGGAGAGAGAAAGAGAGAGAGAGAGAGAUGGCUUCAUCUCAUGGAGAAAUACGAACAGUUCGCGCUGGGAUAAAGCUACUGUUGAUGGUAGUGUUUUUGGGCACUCUCAUGAUGUGGAUCAUGAUGUCUACCAACACUUACUUCCAAAAAUGGUUGCCUUAUUUACGAGCAAAGUAUAAUUCUUCUAAGUUUUUUGGAAUACAAGGUGUAACGCUUUUGAUUUACACCUUUCCCACUCUCUUCAUUGCUGUCUCGGCCUGCAUAUACCACCAUCUUGGAAAGAAAUUGAAUGACUAUAAACUGGAAAGGUAGUCAGCCUUUUAGCUCUUUUGAUGGGAAAUACAAAGUUCAAUUCUGACUAAUAUACUUUUUUUUUUUUUAUUGGUUUUGUAUCGACUACACUGACGGCAGAAAAAAUAUAUUCACCUUAUGGAAAAAGCCGAUGCUCGUAAAAGGUCCUCUAGGGAUUGUUUCCGGCAUAGAAUUGGGCUUCUCUGUCAUGUUCAUAGCACUCCUGAUUUGGUCUCUCUCGAAUGACCUGCAUAAUAGCUUUGUUCAUAUCACCCCACAAUCAGCGGCUGAGAAAGGGGAGAAAGUAUGGCAAGCAAAGUUGGACAGUACAGGAUUGUGGCUAGGUGUUGUUGGAAACAUAGGUCUUGCAUUUCUCUUCUUUCCGGUGGCACGGGGGUCGUCGGUGUUACCACUUUUUGGCUUAACAUCGGAGGCUAGCAUCAAGUAUCAUAUAUGGCUUGGCCACAUCGUCAUGGCAUUCUUCACCGCUCAUGGCCUUUGUUACAUCAUCUAUUGGGCUGCUACUAAUAAUAUUUCAGAGGUAAGUAAUCUUGUUUAACCUAUAUAUUUUACAUUAAUC
Molecule: long non-coding RNA, 887 nt
Organism: Pistacia vera
Lineage: Eukaryota; Viridiplantae; Streptophyta; Magnoliopsida; Sapindales; Anacardiaceae
Exons: 3
Source: RefSeq, a predicted model, not a curated record